This 805-nucleotide ribosomal RNA is filed under the name uncultured bacterium. RNAcentral's name for it is "bacterial SSU rRNA". It matches the Rfam family "Bacterial small subunit ribosomal RNA", at positions 355 to 1173 of the family's 1533-position model. The record is from RNAcentral.
UGGGGAAUAUUGCACAAUGGGCGCAAGCCUGAUGCAGCGACGCCGCGUGAGGGAUGAAGGCCUUCGGGUUGUAAACCUCUUUCAGCAGGGAAGAAGCGCAAGUGACGGUACCUGCAGAAGAAGCGCCGGCUAACUACGUGCCAGCAGCCGCGGUAAUACGUAGGGCGCAAGCGUUGUCCGGAAUUAUUGGGCGUAAAGAGCUCGUAGGCGGUUUGUCGCGUCUGCUGUGAAAACUCGAGGCUCAACCUCGGGCUUGCAGUGGGUACGGGCAGACUAGAGUGCGGUAGGGGAGACUGGAAUUCCUGGUGUAGCGGUGGAAUGCGCAGAUAUCAGGAGGAACACCGAUGGCGAAGGCAGGUCUCUGGGCCGCAACUGACGCUGAGGAGCGAAAGCAUGGGGAGCGAACAGGAUUAGAUACCCUGGUAGUCCAUGCCGUAAACGUUGGGCACUAGGUGUGGGGCUCAUUCCACGAGUUCCGUGCCGCAGCAAACGCAUUAAGUGCCCCGCCUGGGGAGUACGGCCGCAAGGCUAAAACUCAAAGAAAUUGACGGGGGCCCGCACAAGCGGCGGAGCAUGCGGAUUAAUUCGAUGCAACGCGAAGAACCUUACCAAGGCUUGACAUACACCGGAAACUUCCAGAGAUGGUUGCCCCGCAAGGUCGGUGUACAGGUGGUGCAUGGUUGUCGUCAGCUCGUGUCGUGAGAUGUUGGGUUAAGUCCCGCAACGAGCGCAACCCUCGUCCUAUGUUGCCAGCGGGUCAUGCCGGGGACUCAUAGGAGACUGCCGGGGUCAACUCGGAGGAAGG